UGUAAGCGUAUACCAAAGUUGUUGCAGUUAAAACGCUCGUAGUCGGAAUUUGGCAGUUCCGGAUGUGUGCACGUCGUGUGCGCACUUCGCGGGGAUUGCUUUUGUGGUCUUGCGUAGGAUGAGGCACUUUUAUUAGUGAACGUCCUCACGCAACCACUUUUUACUGUGAGAAAAUCAGAGUGCUCAUAGCAGGCAUUUGCCGUGAAUGUAUUAGCAUGGAAUAAUAGAAUAGGACUUGGUUCUAUUUUGUUGGUUUGUUGGGACUGAGUAAUGAUUAAGAGGGACAGUUGGGGGCAUUUGUAUUUCGGUGCUAGAGGUGAAAUUCUUAGAUUACCGAAAGACAAACUGCUGCGAAAGCGUCUGCCAAGGAUGUUUUCAUUGA
This 382-nucleotide ribosomal RNA is filed under the name uncultured eukaryote. RNAcentral's name for it is "partial 18S ribosomal RNA". It matches the Rfam family "Eukaryotic small subunit ribosomal RNA", at positions 592 to 976 of the family's 1831-position model. The record is from RNAcentral.